CACUGCUGACGAGUCCAAAACAGGACGAAACGGCUGUCCAAGUC
This 44-nucleotide non-coding RNA is filed under the name Echinostoma caproni. Lineage: Eukaryota; Metazoa; Platyhelminthes; Trematoda; Plagiorchiida; Echinostomatidae. The record is from RNAcentral.